Molecule: ribosomal RNA, 301 nt
Filed under: uncultured bacterium
Lineage: Bacteria
Description: partial 16S ribosomal RNA
Rfam family: Bacterial small subunit ribosomal RNA
Source: RNAcentral
CAGCAGCCGCGGGAAUGCGUAGGUGGCAAGCGUUGUCCGGAAUUAUUGGGCGUAAAGGGCUCGCAGGCGGUUUCUUAAGUCUGAUGUGAAAGCCCCCGGCUCAACCGGGGAGGGUCAUUGGAAACUGGGAAACUUGAGUGCAGAAGAGGAGAGUGGAAUUCCACGUGUAGCGGUGAAAUGCGUAGAGAUGUGGAGGAACACCAGUGGCGAAGGCGACUCUCUGGUCUGUGACUGACGCUGAGGAGCGAAAGCGUGGGGAGCGAACAGGAUUAGAUACCCCAGUAGUCCCUGUCUCUUAUAC